This 495-nucleotide ribosomal RNA is filed under the name uncultured bacterium. RNAcentral describes it as "partial 16S ribosomal RNA". It matches the Rfam family "Bacterial small subunit ribosomal RNA", at positions 29 to 523 of the family's 1533-position model. The record is from RNAcentral.
AAUGAACGUUGGCGGCGUGCUUAACACAUGCAAGUCGAGCGAGAAAACUCCUUCGGGGGUUAGUAAAGCGGCGGACGGGUGAGGAACGCGUAAGAAUCUUCCCUUCAGUGAAGAAUACCCUUGAGAAAUCGAGGAUAAUACUGCAUAUUCCCUACGGGGCAAAGGUGGCUUUAAUGCUGCCGCUGAAGGAUGAGCUUGCGUACUAUUAGCUAGUUGGUGAGGUAAAGGCUCACCAAGGCGAUGAUGGUUAGCCGGCCUGAGAGGGUGUACGGCCACAUUGGGACUGAGAUACGGCCCAGACUCCUACGGGAGGCAGCAGUAGGGAAUCUUCCGCAAUGGACGAAAGUCUGACGGAGCAACGCCGCGUGAGUGAUGAAGGUUUUCGGAUCGUAAAACUCUGUUGUCAGGGAAGAACAAGUGCUGGAGUAACUGCCGGCGCCUUGACGGUACCUGACCAGAAAGCCACGGCUAACUACGUGCCAGCAGCCGCCGUAA